UGAAGAGCUUGGAGGCUUUCAGGGAGCGGCAAGGGAAUGUGAUCCAGGUUAUUGUCAGUGAGGUAAAGAUGCUGCAGUUCAUUCAGAUCCUAGAGGAUGAAGGAAAAAGAUAAAUACACAGUGUUCCCAUCUGCAGCACUGACAGUAGACAGCUUAACCAGGAAUGGACUUGGGGACAAAUCAAAAGAAGACUUUAGGAACAAAGGAAAUGGGACAGCUGUUCUCUGAAUGGAGGAAGUCCGGAGGGAGAGAGAUGCAUUCCAGGCUUUUAUUGACCCAGGUUAGUACUGCACUACAGUUCUUGCGUAUGGUGUCUACUUCACCAGUUUUGUGGAAAUCAGAUAAUUGUCCCUCUCCUGAACUUUGGAAUAAAAUCUGGAGAUUUUGAGACCUGUUAUUGGCUUUAUAUUCAGCUUUUGUGGCAGUUCUACCGAAAAUAAUAUUUUGGAGAAGAGUAUUUUCAAGAUAGAGUUUGUAAAUAGGCUUCAGACCAUAGAUAAUUUUCACUUGUUAUGGGAUUUGGGUUAUCUACUGCCAUCUCUCUGAAUAUUUGUGGGCAUACUUUAUGGAACUUACUAUUUUGGGAUUUGUGAUUUACUUUAUACUUUCUGAGGUGUUCUUUGUUGAUUAAUCACUGUAGCUGUUGGGUACCAAAGCAGAGGUAUUAAAUCCUAGUAUUUCUGUCUCUAGACUGUUAUCUCUCUCUUACUGUAGGAUGUUAUCUAGUUUUGCAGAUGCACAGUUGAAUGUCUACCAGUAGUUUCCUUGCCAUUGCACUAAGUCUGGGUUCUAGGGAAAUUUUUCCAAGUAGUUAGUAUUAUCUAUUCAGUCUCCUGCAGGAGUUGUGACAGUUAUAAAAAAAUAAAAAUUAUUGCAGUUAA
Long non-coding RNA from Pseudopipra pipra, 881 nucleotides. RefSeq lists it as uncharacterized. The record is from RefSeq and is a predicted model, not a curated record. The transcript is spliced from 2 exons. NCBI's taxonomy places the organism in Eukaryota, Metazoa, Chordata, Aves, Passeriformes, Pipridae.